RNAcentral lists this ribosomal RNA (465 nucleotides) under Vreelandella stevensii. RNAcentral describes it as "partial 16S ribosomal RNA". It matches the Rfam family "Bacterial small subunit ribosomal RNA", at positions 338 to 795 of the family's 1533-position model. Lineage: Bacteria; Pseudomonadati; Pseudomonadota; Gammaproteobacteria; Oceanospirillales; Halomonadaceae. The record is from RNAcentral.
CCUACGGGCGGCAGCAGUGGGGAAUAUUGGACAAUGGGGGGAACCCUGAUCCAGCCAUGCCGCGUGUGUGAAGAAGGCCCUCGGGGUGUAAAGCACUUUCAGUGAGGAAGAACGCCUGGUGGUUAAUACCCAUCAGGAAAGACAUCACUCACAGAAGAAGCACCGGCUAACUCCGUGCCAGCAGCCGCGGUAAUACGGAGGGUGCGAGCGUUAAUCGGAAUUACUGGGCGUAAAGCGCGCGUAGGUGGCUUGAUAAGCCGGUUGUGAAAGCCCCGGGCUCAACCUGGGAACGGCAUCCGGAACUGUCAAGCUAGAGUGCAGGAGAGGAAGGUAGAAUUCCCGGUGUAGCGGUGAAAUGCGUAGAGAUCGGGAGGAAUACCAGUGGCGAAGGCGGCCUUCUGGACUGACACUGACACUGAGGUGCGAAAGCGUGGGUAGCAAACAGGAUUAGAUACCCGAGUAGUC